RNAcentral lists this ribosomal RNA (770 nucleotides) under uncultured Lactobacillus sp. RNAcentral describes it as "bacterial SSU rRNA". It matches the Rfam family "Bacterial small subunit ribosomal RNA", at positions 727 to 1502 of the family's 1533-position model. Lineage: Bacteria; Bacillati; Bacillota; Bacilli; Lactobacillales; Lactobacillaceae. The record is from RNAcentral.
CGCUGGUCUGUACUGACGCUGAGCUCGAAAGUAUGGGUAGCAAACAGGAUUAGAUACCUGGUAGUCCAUACCGUAAACGAUGAAUGCUAAGUGUUGGAGGGUUCCGCCCUUCAGUGCUGCAGCUAACGCAUUAAGCAUUCCGCUGGGGAGUACGGCCACAAGGCUGAAACUCAAAGGAAUUGACGGGGGCCCGCACAAGCGGUGGAGCAUGUGGUUUAAUUCGAAGCUACGCGAAGAACCUUACCAGGUCUUGACAUACUAUGCAAAUCUAAGAGAUUAGACGUUCCCUUCGGGGACAUGGAUACAGGUGGUGCAUGGUUGUCGUCAGCUCGUGUCGUGAGAUGUUGGGUUAAGUCCCGCAACGAGCGCAACCCUUAUUAUCAGUUGCCAGCAUUAAGUUGGGCACUCUGGUGAGACUGCCGGUGACAAACCGGAGGAAGGUGGGGAUGACGUCAAAUCAUCAUGCCCCUUAUGACCUGGGCUACACACGUGCUACAAUGGAUGGUACAACGAGUUGCGAACUCGCGAGAGUAAGCUAAUCUCUUAAAGCCAUUCUCAGUUCGGAUUGUAGGCUGCAACUCGCCUACAUGAAGUCGGAAUCGCUAGUAAUCGCGGAUCAGCAUGCCGCGGUGAAUACGUUCCCGGGCCUUGUACACACCGCCCGUCACACCAUGAGAGUUUGUAACACCCAAAGUCGGUGGGGUAACCUUUAGGAACCAGCCGCCUAAGGUGGGACAGAUGAUUAGGGUGAAGUCGUAACAAGGUAACCA